Molecule: ribosomal RNA, 422 nt
Filed under: uncultured Flavobacterium sp.
Lineage: Bacteria; Pseudomonadati; Bacteroidota; Flavobacteriia; Flavobacteriales; Flavobacteriaceae
Description: bacterial SSU rRNA
Rfam family: Bacterial small subunit ribosomal RNA
Source: RNAcentral
UGAGGAAUAUUGGUCAAUGGGCGCAAGCCUGAACCAGCCAUGCCGCGUGCAGGACGACGGCCCUAUGGGUUGUAAACUGCUUUUGUACGGGAAGAAACACUCCUUCGUGAAGGAGCUUGACGGUACCGUAAGAAUAAGGAUCGGCUAACUCCGUGCCAGCAGCCGCGGUAAUACGGAGGAUCCAAGCGUUAUCCGGAAUCAUUGGGUUUAAAGGGUCCGUAGGCGGCCCUGUAAGUCAGUGGUGAAAUCUUUCGGCUCAACCGGAAAAUUGCCAUUGAUACUGCAGGGCUUGAAUUAUCGGGAAGUAACUAGAAUAUGUAGUGUAGCGGUGAAAUGCUUAGAGAUUACAUGGAAUACCGAUUGCGAAGGCAGGUUACUACCGGUGGAUUGACGCUGAUGGACGAAAGCGUGGGGAGCGAACA